Molecule: transfer RNA, 82 nt
Filed under: Rhodococcus (subgen. Prescottella) equi
Lineage: Bacteria; Bacillati; Actinomycetota; Actinomycetes; Mycobacteriales; Nocardiaceae
Description: Rhodococcus hoagii tRNA-Leu
Rfam family: tRNA
About the family: Transfer RNA (tRNA) molecules are approximately 80 nucleotides in length.
Source: RNAcentral
GGGCGAGUGGCGGAAUGGCAGACGCGCUGGCUUCAGGUGCAGUGUCUUCGGGACGUGGGGGUUCAAGUCCCCCCUUCGCCCA